GUAAUGAGUUGAGUUUUUAAUUUAAUUUAGGAAAAUGCUCAAAAACAUAAAUAAAAAACAGUACAUAAAUCAUAGAAAUUACCUAACAAAUUAGUCAUUUCUCUCCAAGUAAUUUUCUCUCUGUAAAUGAGCGUUUGCCAAUGGUGGUAGAUGCAGUGGUCAACAGGUCGGGGCUACAGUAGGCGCGAUUGUCGGUGAUGACGGGUGGAGAUUUGUGGUUUUCUGGGCGAUGCGACUGGCUGGUUUCGUGCCACCAUGAGAGAGAGAUAGAGAGAGAGAGAGAGAGAGAGAGAGAGAAAGGGUCAUGAAAAGGAUGGGUUUCAUUGCCGGCGGGUGAGGGGCAAUAGUCGUGUGGCUGGCGGGUGGGGGGCAACGAUAGUGAGAGAGAGGGGGUGUCGUGAGAGGAAGAGCUGAGAGGGAGAGAGUUGGUGGGGGGGGGGGGAACAGUGGGCUGGUUUGGGAAAGCAGAAAGUGGAAAGUGAAUUGUAAAAAAAUAUUAAAAAAUUAUAUAGGUAGCCAACAGGUAGCCUGGAGGGGGAAUAUAGCAUUUCUCAUGACCAAAUGGGGUUGGCUCCAACGAGAAGAGGGAGAAAAAUCUUUGCUAGCAAACCCUUGUGAUGGUUGUUAGUGCCCCUGUUAGCUGUCUAAGACCAUUUCCAACACGGAAGAAACAUCCUCCCUAAGACAAAAUUUGGGGAGCAUUUCAAAAUUUUUUUGCUCCACCGCAGCUCUCUACCUGUCAAGUCACUGCUCAGAUUUUUGUGGAGCUUGAAAUCCCUCCCUACUGUUGAGGAGCCAUAUUUUGCUCCCUACAUUUCUCAACAGCUCUAUUUUGUUUCUCAAAUUUGAAGCUCAGUGAUCUGUGUUGAAUAUCAGAUUUGAAGAAGAGUAGUAGCAGCCGAGAAAGCCACCAAUAGUGGCGGCAGUGAGGAGCGACGACGGUGACGGUGGUGGCGCAAGAAAGAAGGAGCAGCGGUAGUUCACGGAGAAGAAAAAGCCACCGACAGAGUGAGGAGAAGAAGACGCAAUAGCUACAGCGAGUGGAGAAGACGAAGCAGCUUUUUCUUUCUUCUGGGCCAUCUUCAACGCAUAGCAGUUUGACCAAUUAGCUUUUGCUCGCCAUGGAGAGAGAUAAUGAACCAUACUACACAAAUUUGUUGAAUGACGACCUCCAUAUUUAUGACGAGUAUGCGAAUGUCACUACCACUCCAUCCCAACCUAAUGCAUUCGAUCUCAACACUCAAAGAAAGCCACAAACAAGAAAUUUCUCAACACAAGAGGAUUUAAUACUCGUGUCAACAUGGCUAAAUAUUAGUAUGGAUGUUACACACGGUAAUGAUCAAACAAAACAAAGGUAUUGGGAAAGGAUUCAUGCUUAUUUCAAUCAAUAUAAAGAGUUUGAAUCUAAUCGAAAUUUCAAUUCACUGAUGCAUCGUUGGUCUACAAUUCAACUUGCUGUGAGCAAAUUCUCUGGAUACUAUAACCAAAUAGAUGGCAGAAAUCAAAGCGGAACAACAUAACAAAAUAAGAUUUCUGAAGCAGUAGAAAUGUACAAGAGCUUACAAAAAUCUUAUUUCACAUUUCUACAUUGCUGGCAUGAGUUGCGACAUGCACUCAAGUUCGCCUCGGGUUAUUCGAAGAAGAAAUAAAAAAUUUCUGAACAUGCAAGUCCUGCAACAUCAUCGCCGUCUACUCCUGAUUCAUUGAACUUGUCUGAUUUUGAUAUUCGAAUCAAUGAGCCUUCAUUGGAACGACCAAUGGGAAGAAAUGCUUCAAAAGAACGUGGACAAAAAAAAAAAUCUAAGGUAACAAAAGUUUCUAUUGAUUCAAUUACAAAAAUGUUGACGGAAAUUACUGAAAAGCGAACGCAGUCCAAAAUGUUAUUACUUGAACAAUCGAAUGAGAUGUUAAAGCUAGAAAGAGAAAGAUUGGAAAUAGAAAAAAAAAAAAGAGAAGAUCGAGAAACAAAAAAGGAAGAGCGAGAACAACUGCUUUAUGAAGAAAGAAUUAUGGGCGUUGAUACUAGUAAUAUGGGAAUUUCAAGCUGAUUAUUACAACGAGCUCAAAUUCAUUACAAAAAAAACUGGCAUUUAGCGGCGUUUUUUUUGCAUUUAGCGGUGGUUUUGACCAACCGCUAG
Long non-coding RNA from Diospyros lotus (date-plum), 2138 nucleotides. RefSeq lists it as uncharacterized. NCBI's taxonomy places the organism in Eukaryota, Viridiplantae, Streptophyta, Magnoliopsida, Ericales, Ebenaceae. The record is from RefSeq and is a predicted model, not a curated record. The transcript is spliced from 3 exons.